This 1928-nucleotide ribosomal RNA is filed under the name Shigella flexneri. RNAcentral's name for it is "bacterial LSU rRNA". It matches the Rfam family "Bacterial large subunit ribosomal RNA", at positions 1030 to 2925 of the family's 2925-position model. Lineage: Bacteria; Pseudomonadati; Pseudomonadota; Gammaproteobacteria; Enterobacterales; Enterobacteriaceae. The record is from RNAcentral.
GACCGCCAGCUAAGGUCCCAAAGUCAUGGUUAAGUGGGAAACGAUGUGGGAAGGCCCAGACAGCCAGGAUGUUGGCUUAGAAGCAGCCAUCAUUUAAAGAAAGCGUAAUAGCUCACUGGUCGAGUCGGCCUGCGCGGAAGAUGUAACGGGGCUAAACCAUGCACCGAAGCUGCGGCAGCGACGCUUAUGCGUUGUUGGGUAGGGGAGCGUUCUGUAAGCCUGUGAAGGUGUGCUGUGAGGUAUGCUGGAGGUAUCAGAAGUGCGAAUGCUGACAUAAGUAACGAUAAAGCGGGUGAAAAGCCCGCUCGCCGGAAGACCAAGGGUUCCUGUCCAACGUUAAUCGGGGCAGGGUGAGUCGACCCCUAAGGCGAGGCCGAAAGGCGUAGUCGAUGGGAAACAGGUUAAUAUUCCUGUACUUGGUGUUACUGCGAAGGGGGGACGGAGAAGGCUAUGUUGGCCGGGCGACGGUUGUCCCGGUUUAAGCGUGUAGGCUGGUUUUCCAGGCAAAUCCGGAAAAUCAAGGCCGAGGCGUGAUGACGAGGCACUACGGUGCUGAAGCAACAAAUGCCCUGCUUCCAGGAAAAGCCUCUAAGCAUCAGGUAACAUCAAAUCGUACCCCAAACCGACACAGGUGGUCAGGUAGAGAAUACCAAGGCGCUUGAGAGAACUCGGGUGAAGGAACUAGGCAAAAUGGUGCCGUAACUUCGGGAGAAGGCACGCUGAUACGUAGGUGAAGCGACUUGCUCGUGGAGCUGAAAUCAGUCGAAGAUACCAGCUGGCUGCAACUGUUUAUUAAAAACACAGCACUGUGCAAACACGAAAGUGGACGUAUACGGUGUGACGCCUGCCCGGUGCCGGAAGGUUAAUUGAUGGGGUUAGCGCAAGCGAAGCUCUUGAUCGAAGCCCCGGUAAACGGCGGCCGUAACUAUAACGGUCCUAAGGUAGCGAAAUUCCUUGUCGGGUAAGUUCCGACCUGCACGAAUGGCGUAAUGAUGGCCAGGCUGUCUCCACCCGAGACUCAGUGAAAUUGAACUCGCUGUGAAGAUGCAGUGUACCCGCGGCAAGACGGAAAGACCCCGUGAACCUUUACUAUAGCUUGACACUGAACAUUGAGCCUUGAUGUGUAGGAUAGGUGGGAGGCUUUGAAGUGUGGACGCCAGUCUGCAUGGAGCCGACCUUGAAAUACCACCCUUUAAUGUUUGAUGUUCUAACGUGGACCCGUGAUCCGGGUUGCGGACAGUGUCUGGUGGGUAGUUUGACUGGGGCGGUCUCCUCCUAAAGAGUAACGGAGGAGCACGAAGGUUGGCUAAUCCUGGUCGGACAUCAGGAGGUUAGUGCAAUGGCAUAAGCCAGCUUGACUGCGAGCGUGACGGCGCGAGCAGGUGCGAAAGCAGGUCAUAGUGAUCCGGUGGUUCUGAAUGGAAGGGCCAUCGCUCAACGGAUAAAAGGUACUCCGGGGAUAACAGGCUGAUACCGCCCAAGAGUUCAUAUCGACGGCGGUGUUUGGCACCUCGAUGUCGGCUCAUCACAUCCUGGGGCUGAAGUAGGUCCCAAGGGUAUGGCUGUUCGCCAUUUAAAGUGGUACGCGAGCUGGGUUUAGAACGUCGUGAGACAGUUCGGUCCCUAUCUGCCGUGGGCGCUGGAGAACUGAGGGGGGCUGCUCCUAGUACGAGAGGACCGGAGUGGACGCAUCACUGGUGUUCGGGUUGUCAUGCCAAUGGCACUGCCCGGUAGCUAAAUGCGGAAGAGAUAAGUGCUGAAAGCAUCUAAGCACGAAACUUGCCCCGAGAUGAGUUCUCCCUGACCCUUUAAGGGUCCUGAAGGAACGUUGAAGACGACGACGUUGAUAGGCCGGGUGUGUAAGCGCAGCGAUGCGUUGAGCUAACCGGUACUAAUGAACCGUGAGGCUUAACCUUACAACGCCGAAG